GCUCAGGAUGAACGCUAGCGGGAGGCCUAACACAUGCAAGCCGAGCGGUAUUUGUUCUUCGGAACAGAGAGAGCGGCGUACGGGUGCGGAACACGUGUGCAACCUGCCUUUAUCAGGGGGAUAGCCUUUCGAAAGGAAGAUUAAUACCCCAUAAUAUAUUUUACGGCAUCGUGAAAUAUUGAAAACUCCGGUGGAUAGAGAUGGGCACGCGCAAGAUUAGAUAGUUGGUAGGGUAACGGCCUACCAAGUCGAUGAUCUUUAGGGGGCCUGAGAGGGUGAUCCCCCACACUGGUACUGAGACACGGACCAGACUCCUACGGGAGGCAGCAGUGAGGAAUAUUGGACAAUGGGUGAGAGCCUGAUCCAGCCAUCCCGCGUGAAGGACGACGGCCCUAUGGGUUGUAAACUUCUUUUGUAUAGGGAUAAACCUUUCCACGUGUGGAAAGCUGAAGGUACUAUACGAAUAAGCACCGGCUAACUCCGUGCCAGCAGCCGCGGUAAUACGGAGGGUGCAAGCGUUAUCCGGAUUUAUUGGGUUUAAAGGGUCCGUAGGCGGAUCUGUAAGUCAGUGGUGAAAUCUCAUAGCUUAACUAUGAAACUGCCAUUGAUACUGCAGGUCUUGAGUAAGGUAGAAGUAGCUGGAAUAAGUAGUGUAGCGGUGAAAUGCAUAGAUAUUACUUAGAACACCAAUUG
RNAcentral lists this ribosomal RNA (693 nucleotides) under Chryseobacterium sp. GUAF 7004. RNAcentral describes it as "bacterial SSU rRNA". It matches the Rfam family "Bacterial small subunit ribosomal RNA", at positions 22 to 715 of the family's 1533-position model. The record is from RNAcentral. Lineage: Bacteria; Pseudomonadati; Bacteroidota; Flavobacteriia; Flavobacteriales; Weeksellaceae.